Molecule: ribosomal RNA, 253 nt
Filed under: uncultured bacterium
Lineage: Bacteria
Description: partial 16S ribosomal RNA
Rfam family: Bacterial small subunit ribosomal RNA
Source: RNAcentral
UCCAGAGGGUGCAAUCGUUAUUCGGAAUUACUGGGCGUAAAGCGCAUGUAGGCGGUUUAGUAAGUCUGGUGUGAAAUCCCUCGACUCAAUCGGGGAAGUGCAUUGGAUACUGCUAGACUAGAGUAUGGGAGAGGUGAGUGGAAUUCCAGGUGUAGAGGUGAAAUUCGUAGAUAUCUGGAGGAACAACAGAGGCGAAGGCGGCUCACUGGACCAUUACUGACGCUGAGAUGCGAAAGCGUGGGGAGAAAACAGG